This 301-nucleotide ribosomal RNA is filed under the name uncultured bacterium. RNAcentral describes it as "partial 16S ribosomal RNA". It matches the Rfam family "Bacterial small subunit ribosomal RNA", at positions 509 to 807 of the family's 1533-position model. The record is from RNAcentral.
CAGCAGCCGCGGUAAUACGUAGGUGGCGAGCGUUGUCCGGAAUUAUUGGGCGUAAUGGGAGCGCAGGCGGACAUAUAAGUCCAUCUUAAAAGUGCGGGGCUCAACCCCGUGAGGGGGAUGGAAACUGUAUGCCUUGAGUGCAGGAGAGGAAAGCGGAAUUCCCAGUGUAGCGGUGAAAUGCGUAGAUAUUGGGAGGAACACCAGUGGCGAAGGCGGCUUUCUGGACUGUAACUGACGCUGAGGCUCGAAAGCCAGGGGAGCGAACGGGAUUAGAGACCCCUGUAGUCCCUGUCUCUUAUAC